RNAcentral lists this ribosomal RNA (250 nucleotides) under uncultured bacterium. RNAcentral describes it as "partial 16S ribosomal RNA". It matches the Rfam family "Bacterial small subunit ribosomal RNA", at positions 524 to 775 of the family's 1533-position model. The record is from RNAcentral.
UACGGAGGGGGUUAGCGCUGUUCGGAAUACUGGGCGUAAAGCGUGCGUAGGCGGAUUGGAAAGUUAGAUGUGAAAUCCAAGGCUCAACCUUGGAACUGCAUUUAAAACUCCCAAUCUAGAGUUCUGGAGAGGUAAGUGGAAUUCCUAGUGUAGAGGUGAAAUUCGUAGAUAUUCGGAGGAACACCAGUGGCGAAGGCGGCUCACUGGCUCGAUACUGACGCUGAGGUGCGAAAGUGUGGGGAGCAAACAG